Molecule: unclassified non-coding RNA, 564 nt
Filed under: Borrelia sp. IR-J1
Lineage: Bacteria; Pseudomonadati; Spirochaetota; Spirochaetia; Spirochaetales; Borreliaceae
Description: partial contains 16S ribosomal RNA and 16S-23S ribosomal RNA intergenic spacer
Rfam family: tRNA (bases 136-209)
Source: RNAcentral
AGUCGUAACAAGGUAGCCGUACUGGAAAGUGUGGCUGGAUCACCUCCUUUCUAAGAGAAAGGUAUUACUUAAAGGUAAAUUAUGAAAUGUAAAUUAUGUUUUAACUCUUCCUUUGUCUUUUCUAAGACUGUUUUUGGGGGUUUAGCUCAGUUGGCUAGAGCAUCGGCUUUGCAAGCCGGGGGUCGAGGGUUCGAGUCCCUCAACCUCCAUUUAUUCAGCCUAAAAUAAAUGGAGGUUAUAAUUAGCAGUAAUGCUAUGUUGGUUGUAGCUAAAUUUAAAAUUGUUAAGGAUCUGUUCUAAUUUUAUUGUCUAGGUAAUGUGUUUUUUAUUAUGUCUUUAAUUAAGUACGGUUGUUUACGUAUGGCAAUUCAUGAUAAGUGAUCUUAAUUUAGAUUUUGUUUUUUCAUUUUUUGUUUGCAUUCGUUAUAAUUAAUUUUUGAUUUUUAAGAUGUGGGUUUAGGAAUUGCAAAUCACUAAGCGUAAGGCAUUUCUUUAAAUAUUUGGAUGUUUCUUGAAAUGACUCUUAGUAAAUUGGGACCAGGAGGACUUGAACCUCCGACCUCA